AGCGAACGCUGGCGGCAGGCUUAACACAUGCAAGUCGAGCGGGCCCUUUGGGGUCAGCGGCAGACGGGUGAGUAACGCGUGGGAACGUGCCCUUCGGUUCGGAAUAACUCAGGGAAACUUGAGCUAAUACCGGAUACGCCCUUAUGGGGAAAGGCUUGCUGCCGAAGGAUCGGCCCGCGUCUGAUUAGCUAGUUGGUGAGGUUAUGGCUCACCAAGGCGACGAUCAGUAGCUGGUCUGAGAGGAUGAUCAGCCACACUGGGACUGAGACACGGCCCAGACUCCUACGGGAGGCAGCAGUGGGGAAUAUUGGACAAUGGGGGCAACCCUGAUCCAGCCAUGCCGCGUGAGUGAUGACGGCCUUAGGGUUGUAAAGCUCUUUUCUCCGGGACGAUAAUGACGGUACCGGAGGAAUAAGCCCCGGCUAACUUCGUG
RNAcentral lists this ribosomal RNA (433 nucleotides) under uncultured bacterium. RNAcentral's name for it is "partial 16S ribosomal RNA". It matches the Rfam family "Bacterial small subunit ribosomal RNA", at positions 29 to 507 of the family's 1533-position model. The record is from RNAcentral.